GGUUCAUUCAUUAGUUAAAAUUUGAGUUAAAAUCAAUGGUUUAAAUCUACUAUAAGAAUUAUUUGGAAUUAAUUAGGAUUUAGUUUUGGAUUAGGAUUAGGAUUUUAGAUUGAUUUAAGAUUUUUUUAGGGUUAGGAUUUGGUUAAGAUUAGGAUUUAGUUUAAACUAAGAUUUGAUUAGGAUUUAUCUAGGAUUUGACUAAGAUUUGUUUAAGAUUUGAUUAAGGCUUAUUUAGGGUUUGUCUAGGAUUUGACUAGAGUUUAUUUAAGGUGUGAUCAAGAUUUAUUUGAGAUUUGAUUAUGAUUUGUCUAGGGUUUGGUUAGGGCUUAUUUAAGAAUUAAUUAGGAUUUAACAGGGAUUUGGCUAAGUUUUGACUAAGAUUUGAUUAAAUUUUGAUUAGAUUUUUAUUAGGAUUUAAUUAUUUUUUAUUUUAAUAUUAUAUUAAGAUUUCUAUUUUA
Molecule: long non-coding RNA, 458 nt
Filed under: Physcomitrium patens
Lineage: Eukaryota; Viridiplantae; Streptophyta; Bryopsida; Funariales; Funariaceae
Description: long non-coding RNA (PPAT_LNC010975)
Source: RNAcentral